This 2970-nucleotide small RNA is filed under the name Pan troglodytes (chimpanzee). RNAcentral describes it as "retained intron". Lineage: Eukaryota; Metazoa; Chordata; Mammalia; Primates; Hominidae. The record is from RNAcentral.
AUCAUUUAAUUAUCAUAACCCAAUUAUGAAGUAGAUAUACUAUUAUUCCAUAUUCAGCUAAAAAAAAAAAAACACUGAGAAAAAGACAGGGUAAGUAAUUUGCCCAGGGUCACACACCUGCUAAAAGACAGAGCUGGGAUUGCAUCCUAAGCAGUGAGUGGGUAGUGCUGAUAACAGCUACACCAGACUGCUGUAGCACUAGAUAAAAUAAAAACAACUGCUGCUCUUUGAAUGCCUACUCUGUGCCAGUUACUGUGUGCUCUAGGUGUUUUACAUGGGUUACCAGUUAAUCCUUACAUCCUUACAAGUUCAGAAGCAAAUAAUGUUUCAGUCUUACAGAUGAAGCUCAGGGAAUUGUUCUCAGUAAAGAUCAAGCGUAUGAAACAAAAAAUUGUCUUUUUCAGCUUAUUCUACCAGAUUCCAUGAAAGUAUUGCCAGUGUACAUGAAUUGCUUGUUGAAAAACUGUGUGCUACUCAGCAGACCAGAGAUCUCAACUGAUGAACGAGCAUACCAGAGACAGCUGGUCAUGACCAUGGGUGUGGCUGACUCUCAGCUUUUCUUCUACCCACAACUUCUGCCCAUACACACGUUAGAUGUCAAGAGUACAAUGUUACCUGCUGCUGUUCGUUGCUCUGAGUCCCGUCUUUCAGAAGAAGGAAUAUUCUUACUGGCUAAUGGCCUACACAUGUUCCUGUGGUUGGGAGUAAGCAGCCCACCAGAACUGAUCCAAGGAAUAUUUAAUGUGCCAUCUUUUGCACAUAUCAACACAGACAUGGUAAGUAUUAUUUUCAUUGCUUUUGUGGUAAUAUGAAAAAUAUAAAUUCGUAAAUGUUUUUAUUUAUGUGCAGUCAAAUAUUACAGAAAGAAAAAUAAUAAGGCAUAUAUUUCUGUAUAUGAAAGAAAUAAUUUCAUGUUUUGAUCAAUAUCAAUUAGCUGGUAUAAAGUUAUUUGUAUAGAGUACUUUCAAACAACUAAAAUAUGUGACUUUAAUAGAAAAUGCUAACACUUCCAGAUCAUUAACUAUGUGCCAGUCUCUGUACUCUAAAUACUUAAAUAUACCAUUUCAGUUAAUUGUCAUAACAAAUCAGUGAGAUGGAUAUGGUCUCAACAUUUUACAGAGGAAUCAGUUGAGGCUUGGAGACAAGUUCCUUCAGGUAGUAAAGUGGCAGAGAUGGGAACUGAAUUCAGUUCUUAUGCUCUGGACUCAUCCCUGGUGCUGAACUGCAUACUCAGAAGAAUGUAGAAAUCUUUCAUAAGUGUUUGGCUACAGACUAAAUCAGAUUACUGAGUUAACAAAUAAUAAUUCCAUAAAAAGAGACUAUACACCCCUCUGUUGCAAUAACAACAAAAGAAAUUGUGAGUUUGAUGUUAAAUUAAUACAAAUGACUAUUUUAAAGUAUCUUAGGAAAACCCAGCUUAUAAUUUGUACAAGAGUCAACAUUUAUUGCAAACGUUAUUUGUAGACCAUUGUUGUGUGAGCAUCACUGCCGAUGGCUAUUGUUUGACUCUGAUAGUGGAUUCCAGUAGAGCUCAGCAGAUAGUUAGUUUCCUGAAGCCUCACUUACGUUGUGGCAAGAUGGCUUAAGUCUAGUUGUUGAACCCAAUUGUAUGAAGUACAGUUUAUCAAUAUAUAUAGCAUCUUGCAGAAAGAGGCAAGAUAAAAAUUCAAGGCCAUGACAGGUGAUCAGUUUAGAGAGCUGCAUAUUCAUGAGGAAUGUCAAAAGUGUAUUUUUAAGAGAAUUCAGGGGCAUCAAUAUUCCAGUUAGAGAUUGGUUUUAAGAUGAAGAUUUAGAAAUUGAUAUCUGCAUAUGUUUGAAAUUAAGAAAUGAUUAUAAAUGCAAUUUAAAAAAAUAAAAUUCAGUAGGCAAAGAACUAUGAGUCUGAAGAAUGUUUAUAUAAAAGUUAAGGAAGCUUCCUCUUGUAAUAUAUUGACAUAGUAAAUGCUGAAUGCAUAGUUGCUGAACUGAACAUCCACAGGAAAUGGCCAGUGUCUCUACCACAAGGCAGCACAUUGGUAGGUCUGUGCUUAUAUCAGCAUACUGGUAUUUCCUUGACUUUCAUCAACAAAAUGAAACAAAGUUAAAAACCAAAUGUAAGCUACUUUCUUUUUAGAGGCAGCUGGCACUUUAAAACACAUACAUGAAGAAUACUUACGUUGUUUGUUGAAUAAAUAGAUCUACCAUAAUAUGCCACAUAAUGCAUAUAGAGGAUGGGAGUGUGAAUAUAAAUAAUGAAUUUUUUGCUUUCCUUACUCCUGUGAAAAACAUUGACCAUAAACUUUUCCUGACACUUGAGGUUUAUGGUGAAACAUUCUAAGUCACAUGUUCUCUGUCCAACUCACAGUGAUGCAUUGGCUCUUGGCAUCUUCUUGCUGAGAAGCAAACAUUAGCAUUUUACUCUGUCUUAACGGAAGAAAUGUAAGUCAAAAUCCUUCAUAUCACCUGGAUGCCAUGUGCAGCUGGAUUGGCCUGUAGACCACUAACCAGAUUUCUGGGCUAUCUAAGACGCUGCAUUCCCUUUGAGAAAUCAACAUUUGGUAGUUUGUUUUAAUGCCGGAACAGUAGUACUUGGAUGGAAUUUUCCAUCCAUUGAAGGAAUAAAGUACAUUCUUUUCUCUCGCAACAUAGCCUUGAAUCUUGAAAAGGGAUCAAACUUUCACAGGAAGUUGUUUGCAUAAAACAUAUACUAUUGUCUCUUGGUAUCCAUGGGGAAUUGGUUCCAGAAUACUCUAUAAAUUCACAGAUGCUGAAGUCCCUGAUAUAAAAUGGCAUGGUAUUUGCAUAUAACUUGUACAUAUACCCCCAUAUAUUUUAAAUCAUCUCUAGAUUACUUAUAACACCAGCUGGGCACGGUGGCUCACACCUAUAAUCCCAGCACUUUGGGAGGCUGAAGUGGGAGGAUUGCUUGAGUGCAGGCGUUCAAGACCAGCCUGGGCAACAUAGUGAGACCCUCUCUCUAUCAAAAAAAAA